RNAcentral lists this long non-coding RNA (1303 nucleotides) under Fragaria vesca (wild strawberry). Its description in RNAcentral is "long non-coding RNA (FVES_LNC000045)". The record is from RNAcentral. Lineage: Eukaryota; Viridiplantae; Streptophyta; Magnoliopsida; Rosales; Rosaceae.
AACGAACGUCCACUCACAACUUUAGGCAUAAGCCGGACGAAAUCCAAUUCACCACUCAAGUGAGGUCUCCUCAAAUCUUGGCACAAAAACUAUGCUUAUGACCACACUUCAAUUUCAGAAUAAAUAAUACUUAAAUAUAUAACCCAAAACUCUUCCGCCUAACCCACUACCCUUUCUAGGGUUAAGCUUAUCGGAUUCACGCCAAAAUCCAACCACAACCUUAUUUCCUUUAUUUCAACAUUCUAAAACAAUAAUAAGGAAAAUCCAACGGUCGGAUUCUAUCCCAUUACCCGCCAUAUUCACCAAACUUUGAAAAAAAUCUCAAACCUAUCCAAAACUCUUUUAAAAAUUCCACACUUCACAUCAAUAAACUCCCCUUAAUAUUAUACAUUUAAAACCAUAAAAAUCCCCUAAACAAUGGCAGCGGCGGCCGGAGACCGACUCCGGCAACCUCCAAUGCCUACCAAAAUUUAACAGCAUCUUCCUCUCAACCCCCUCUACAACUUUCCUAACUAGCACAAACACAAAUUCCAAGCCUAGAUAGGGUAAUCGAACAAAAACAUCAAAUGAGCCCUAAAAUUUCUAACACCAAAAUCUCCUUAAUGGGUUCAAUAUCAAGAACCAUUUUGAUUUCCAGAAAGUCUAUUUUUUUGUGAUUUUACUCAUCUAAAUGGUAGACAUUUCUAAUAAAAAUAGUAGUUAUGUGUCUUAUGUCAAAUGUAGACUUUGAAACUUUUGACUUUAAUGGGUUCAAUAUCAAGAACCAUUUUGAUUUCCAGAAAGUCUACUUUUUUCUGAUUUUACUCAUCUAAAUGGUAAACAUUUCUAAUGAAAAUAGUAGUACUGUGUUAUGUUAAAUAUAGACUUUACAACUUUUGCCUUUAAUGAGUUCAAUAUCAAGAACCAUUUGGAUUUCCAAAAAGUCUAACUUUUUGUGAUUUUGCUCAUCUAUAUGGUAGACAUUUUUAAUUGGUUCAAUAUCAAAAACUGUUUUGAUUUCCAGAACGUUUACUUUUUUGUGAUUUUGUUCAUCUAAAUGGUAGACAUUUCUAAUGAAACUAGUAAAUGCGUCUUAUGUCAAAUGUAGACUUUGAAACUUUUGACUUUAAUGGGUUCAAUAUCAAAAACCAUUUUGAUUUCCAGAAAGUCUACUUUUUUGUGAUUUUACUCAUCUAAAUGGUAGACAUUUCUAAUGAAAAUAGUAGUUGUGUGUUAUGUUAAAUGUAGACUUUGCAACUUUUGUCUUUAAUAGGUUCAAUAUCAAGAACCAUUUUGAUUUCCAGAAAGUCUACUUUUUUGUGAU